Molecule: ribosomal RNA, 2903 nt
Filed under: Klebsiella quasipneumoniae
Lineage: Bacteria; Pseudomonadati; Pseudomonadota; Gammaproteobacteria; Enterobacterales; Enterobacteriaceae
Description: 23S ribosomal RNA
Rfam family: Bacterial large subunit ribosomal RNA
Source: RNAcentral
GGUUAAGCGACUAAGCGUACACGGUGGAUGCCCUGGCAGUCAGAGGCGAUGAAGGACGUGCUAAUCUGCGAAAAGCGUCGGUAAGGUGAUAUGAACCGUUAUAACCGGCGAUGUCCGAAUGGGGAAACCCAGUGCAAUUCGUUGCACUAUCGUUAACUGAAUACAUAGGUUAACGAGGCGAACCGGGGGAACUGAAACAUCUAAGUACCCCGAGGAAAAGAAAUCAACCGAGAUUCCCCCAGUAGCGGCGAGCGAACGGGGAGCAGCCCAGAGUCUGAAUCAGCUUGUGUGUUAGUGGAACGGUCUGGAAAGUCCGACGGUACAGGGUGAUAGUCCCGUACACCAAAAUGCACAGGUUGUGAACUCGAAGAGUAGGGCGGGACACGUGGUAUCCUGUCUGAAUAUGGGGGGACCAUCCUCCAAGGCUAAAUACUCCUGACUGACCGAUAGUGAACCAGUACCGUGAGGGAAAGGCGAAAAGAACCCCGGCGAGGGGAGUGAAAAAGAACCUGAAACCGUGUACGUACAAGCAGUGGGAGCACCUUUAUGGUGUGACUGCGUACCUUUUGUAUAAUGGGUCAGCGACUUAUAUUCUGUAGCAAGGUUAACCGUAUAGGGGAGCCGCAGGGAAACCGAGUCUUAACUGGGCGUUAAGUUGCAGGGUAUAGACCCGAAACCCGGUGAUCUAGCCAUGGGCAGGUUGAAGGUUGGGUAACACUAACUGGAGGACCGAACCGACUAAUGUUGAAAAAUUAGCGGAUGACUUGUGGCUGGGGGUGAAAGGCCAAUCAAACCGGGAGAUAGCUGGUUCUCCCCGAAAGCUAUUUAGGUAGCGCCUCGUGAACUCAUCUUCGGGGGUAGAGCACUGUUUCGGCUAGGGGGUCAUCCCGACUUACCAACCCGAUGCAAACUACGAAUACCGAAGAAUGUUAUCACGGGAGACACACGGCGGGUGCUAACGUCCGUCGUGAAGAGGGAAACAACCCAGACCGCCAGCUAAGGUCCCAAAGUCAUGGUUAAGUGGGAAACGAUGUGGGAAGGCACAGACAGCCAGGAUGUUGGCUUAGAAGCAGCCAUCAUUUAAAGAAAGCGUAAUAGCUCACUGGUCGAGUCGGCCUGCGCGGAAGAUGUAACGGGGCUAAACCAUGCACCGAAGCUGCGGCAGCGACACUAUGUGUUGUUGGGUAGGGGAGCGUUCUGUAAGCCUGCGAAGGUGACCUGUGAGGGUUGCUGGAGGUAUCAGAAGUGCGAAUGCUGACAUAAGUAACGAUAAAGCGGGUGAAAAGCCCGCUCGCCGGAAGACCAAGGGUUCCUGUCCAACGUUAAUCGGGGCAGGGUGAGUCGACCCCUAAGGCGAGGCCGAAAGGCGUAGUCGAUGGGAAACAGGUUAAUAUUCCUGUACUUGGUGUUACUGCGAAGGGGGGACGGAGAAGGCUAUGUUAGCCGGGCGACGGUUGUCCCGGUUUAAGCAUGUAGGCUGGUUAUCCAGGCAAAUCCGGAUAAUCAAGGCUGAGGUGUGAUGACGAGGCACUACGGUGCUGAAGUAACAAAUGCCCUGCUUCCAGGAAAAGCCUCUAAGCAUCAGGUAACAUCAAAUCGUACCCCAAACCGACACAGGUGGUCAGGUAGAGAAUACCAAGGCGCUUGAGAGAACUCGGGUGAAGGAACUAGGCAAAAUGGUGCCGUAACUUCGGGAGAAGGCACGCUGGUGUGUAGGUGAAGCCCCUGCGGGUGGAGCUGAGACCAGUCGAAGAUACCAGCUGGCUGCAACUGUUUAUUAAAAACACAGCACUGUGCAAACACGAAAGUGGACGUAUACGGUGUGACGCCUGCCCGGUGCCGGAAGGUUAAUUGAUGGGGUUAUCCGUAAGGAGAAGCUCUUGAUCGAAGCCCCGGUAAACGGCGGCCGUAACUAUAACGGUCCUAAGGUAGCGAAAUUCCUUGUCGGGUAAGUUCCGACCUGCACGAAUGGCGUAAUGAUGGCCAGGCUGUCUCCACCCGAGACUCAGUGAAAUUGAACUCGCUGUGAAGAUGCAGUGUACCCGCGGCAAGACGGAAAGACCCCGUGAACCUUUACUAUAGCUUGACACUGAACAUUGAGCCUUGAUGUGUAGGAUAGGUGGGAGGCUUUGAAGCGUGGACGCCAGUCUGCGUGGAGCCAACCUUGAAAUACCACCCUUUAAUGUUUGAUGUUCUAACGUUGGCCCCUAAUCGGGGUUGCGGACAGUGUCUGGUGGGUAGUUUGACUGGGGCGGUCUCCUCCCAAAGCGUAACGGAGGAGCACGAAGGUUAGCUAAUCCUGGUCGGACAUCAGGAGGUUAGUGCAAUGGCAUAAGCUAGCUUGACUGCGAGCGUGACGGCGCGAGCAGGUGCGAAAGCAGGUCAUAGUGAUCCGGUGGUUCUGAAUGGAAGGGCCAUCGCUCAACGGAUAAAAGGUACUCCGGGGAUAACAGGCUGAUACCGCCCAAGAGUUCAUAUCGACGGCGGUGUUUGGCACCUCGAUGUCGGCUCAUCACAUCCUGGGGCUGAAGUAGGUCCCAAGGGUAUGGCUGUUCGCCAUUUAAAGUGGUACGCGAGCUGGGUUUAGAACGUCGUGAGACAGUUCGGUCCCUAUCUGCCGUGGGCGCUGGAGAAUUGAGGGGGGCUGCUCCUAGUACGAGAGGACCGGAGUGGACGCAUCACUGGUGUUCGGGUUGUCAUGCCAAUGGCACUGCCCGGUAGCUAAAUGCGGAAGAGAUAAGUGCUGAAAGCAUCUAAGCACGAAACUUGCCCCGAGAUGAGUUCUCCCUGAGACUUUAAGUCUCCUGAAGGAACGUUGAAGACGACGACGUUGAUAGGCCGGGUGUGUAAGCGCAGCGAUGCGUUGAGCUAACCGGUACUAAUGAACCGUGAGGCUUAACCUU